AAACUAACAAGGAUUCCCCUAGUAGCGGCGAGCGAAGCGGGAAAAGCUCAAAUUGUAAUCUGGCGUCUACGACGUCCGAGUUGUAAUCUCGAGAAGUGUUUUCCGUGAUAGACCGCAUACAAGUCUCUUGGAACAGAGCGUCAUAGUGGUGAGAACCCAGUACACGAUGCGGAUGCCUAUUACUUUGUGAUACACUUUCGAAGAGUCGAGUUGUUUGGGAAUGCAGCUCAAAUUGGGUGGUAAAUUCCAUCUAAAGCUAAAUAUUGGCGAGAGACCGAUAGCGAACAAGUACCGUGAGGGAAAAGAUGAAAGCCUUUGGGAAAGAGAGUUAACAGUACGUGAAAUUGUUGGAAGGGAAACACAUGCAGCCAGACUUGCUAUUCGGGGGCAACUCGAUUGGGCAGGCCCGCAUCAGUUUUUCGGGGGCGGAAAAUCAUAGAGAGAAGGGUAGCAAUUUCGGGUGUGUUAUAGCUCUUUAUUGGAUUCGCCCUGGGGGGACUGAGGAACGCAGCGUGCUUUUAGCAUAAGCUUCGGCUUAUCCACGCCUAGGAUGCGGGUGUAAUGGCUGUAUAUGACCCGUCUUGAAACACGGACCAAGAGUCUAACAUGCUUGC
Molecule: ribosomal RNA, 614 nt
Filed under: Sporobolomyces sp. CRUB 1476
Lineage: Eukaryota; Fungi; Basidiomycota; Microbotryomycetes; Sporidiobolales; Sporidiobolaceae
Description: eukaryotic LSU rRNA
Rfam family: Eukaryotic large subunit ribosomal RNA
Source: RNAcentral